RNAcentral lists this ribosomal RNA (497 nucleotides) under uncultured bacterium. Its description in RNAcentral is "partial 16S ribosomal RNA". It matches the Rfam family "Bacterial small subunit ribosomal RNA", at positions 28 to 506 of the family's 1533-position model. The record is from RNAcentral.
GACGAACGCUGGCGGCGUGCCUAAUACAUGCAAGUCGAACGAGAGCGCCCGGUGCUUGCACUGGUCAAUCUAGUGGCGAACGGGUGAGUAACACGUGGGUAACCUGCCCAUCAGAGGGGGAUAACAUCCGGAAACGGAUGCUAAAACCGCAUAGGUCUUCGAACCGCAUGGUUUGAAGAGGAAAAGAGGCGCAAGCUUCUGCUGAUGGAUGGACCCGCGGUGCAUUAGCUAGUUGGUGAGGUAACGGCUCACCAAGGCCGUGAUGCAUAGCCGACCUGAGAGGGUGAUCGGCCACAUUGGGACUGAGACACGGCCCAAACUCCUACGGGAGGCAGCAGUAGGGAAUCUUCCGCAAUGGACGCAAGUCUGACGGAGCAACGCCGCGUGAGUGAAGAAGGUUUUCGGAUCGUAAAACUCUGUUGUUAGAGAAGAACAAGUGCUAGAGUAACUGUUAGCGCCUUGACGGUAUCUAACCAGAAAGCCACGGCUAACUACGU